AACACAGAAGUUAAGCUUCUUAGCGCCGAUUGUAGUGAGGGGUUGCCCCUUGUGAGAGUAGGACGUCGCCACGC
RNAcentral lists this ribosomal RNA (74 nucleotides) under Enterococcus faecium. RNAcentral also lists the same sequence under 1 other name. The record is from RNAcentral. Lineage: Bacteria; Bacillati; Bacillota; Bacilli; Lactobacillales; Enterococcaceae.